AUGGGGAUGAGGUUUGGGGAUGAGGGAGCGGCCGUGACCCUGCUGGAGUGCAGGGGGGGCCUCCAGCCCCCCGGGGCGUCCCUGCGCCUCCUCUGCCGAGGGUCCGGGUCCAGUUUUGAGGAUUAUGGAAUGUACUGGAUCCGCCAGAGACCCGGGCAGGGGCUGGAAUUUGUUGCAAGUAUCUACAACAAUGGUGGCAGCACCGAUUACGCGCCAUCAGUCAAGGGUCAGUUCACCAUGUCCAAGGACAACGGGCAGAGCUCGGUGACGCUGACCAUGAACAACCUCAAGGACGAGGAUUCCGGAUCCUAUUUCUGUGCAAAAGAUGCUUAUGGUCGUGGUUCUAAUCUCAGUGGGGAUCACUUCUGA
Molecule: non-coding RNA, 369 nt
Organism: Melozone crissalis (California towhee)
Lineage: Eukaryota; Metazoa; Chordata; Aves; Passeriformes; Passerellidae
Source: the annotation of a RefSeq genome assembly